CUGGCGUCUAUUUCCCGACGUAGCCAACGUGGUGACGCACGCGUCACGUGAGCGCGCUUCAAAGUCAACUGACGGAGAGGGGGAUUUAUUUUCCCGCCAAUGAGCGAAUGAGGAGAUCGGAGAAGGCAGUAACCAUAUAUGAUUGUUCUGAUGCCGAUGCUCAGCAUGAAGUGGGUGACAUCAUUGGAAACUGAGACUGUAUCCCGCCAGUAUGCAGACAUUCUGGUGGUACAAAUUAAUACCAUGCAAGUUGUGAUUCCUUCACCAAAGAUGUCCAGAAGACUAUUCACUGCAGAGAGCAAUGUUGAAACAUUUACAUAGAGAGAUCACAAAGUUACACCUGUUUAUUUACAUUACUGAGUAAUGGAGCUCAGUGGACAGAGGUGAAUUCAUUAGUAAGGCUGGAUUUCCCAUAGACGCAUUGAAGAGAAUUGGACUCAUUUCUCUAUGGACAUAUACAGGUGCAUAUGAACUUGCCAAAAGCCACAACAAGCAGUGCUGUGCCGAACGCUAUCCCUGCAUUUAACUUAUUUAUAUCCGAAGGCUGAAAACGCCUUCCGGGUCAAAGGCACAAGAGAAAUCUCUAAUGCUCAUAGCCAACAGCCACAAGAGGGAGUAGGAGCCUUUCCCAGCCCUGGAUAAAUAAGGCGUCAGUCAAGAAGCCAAGUGACAAUGAAGACUUUUAUAUUGGAUUGUAAAGAGAGAACUAGCCAAACUAUUGUGAAGCAAUUUACCUGUAGGAAAAAAACAUAUUAACUUCAUAAAGUUCAACAAAGUCAGCACGUUCCUGAAUGCUAAAAGCUUUCUUAUAAGAGGGAGAACAUGCAAACUCUUGCAGAUGUUUCCCUCAGUGGGAUUUGAACAGAGGACCCCAGCACUGCAAGGAAACAGUAAUAACCACCAUCAUAGAUGUUGUCGGAAGUGACAGUGUCAUCAGUCACUGUGCAUAUAGAUUUGAUUCCUAUAGCCAACCUGACCUCUCUUGCUAUGAGAAUUGGAAUACCUGGGGUCCAACGUACCAUGCCUAGGCCAGAAUAUCGGGUGGGCUCUUUCUGCCAUAAUUUUCUAUAUUUCUACGAAGCCACAAUAGAAAGAGAUGAAAGGCACACGAAUUCCCAGUACAGCAGAGAGAACAGUUUUACAGGGAACACCCACUGGGAUCAAAGCCUGCAGUCCAAAAAGCAAAUAUGUCUUAAAAAGCAGCCAUG
Long non-coding RNA from Hyla sarda, 1208 nucleotides. RefSeq lists it as uncharacterized. Lineage: Eukaryota; Metazoa; Chordata; Amphibia; Anura; Hylidae. The transcript is spliced from 8 exons. The record is from RefSeq and is a predicted model, not a curated record.